AACCGCAGGGACGAUAAGUAAGAGUAAAACGCCGGGUACAAUCAUGGCCAAUGCCCAAACACCCCAAUCGAGAUGAACAUCCAAAAUACUGUUGGCAAAUUCUGCCACGAGCAAAUUCGGUGCCAUCGCCGUGAUGAAGAUAAAACUACUGACUUUCAUCACGAAGUAGAUAUUCGACAUUAAGUAUGAACCGGCUUUUUUGGCUGUUUCGCCGGGUUCUGAACCAAGGGCUUUCACCACGGAAAGAAUAA
RNAcentral lists this antisense RNA (251 nucleotides) under Yersinia massiliensis. RNAcentral describes it as "Yersinia sRNA 283". It matches the Rfam family "Yersinia sRNA 283". Rfam says of the family: Identified in transcriptional profiling by RNA seq. Lineage: Bacteria; Pseudomonadati; Pseudomonadota; Gammaproteobacteria; Enterobacterales; Yersiniaceae. The record is from RNAcentral.